This 464-nucleotide ribosomal RNA is filed under the name uncultured bacterium. Its description in RNAcentral is "partial 16S ribosomal RNA". It matches the Rfam family "Bacterial small subunit ribosomal RNA", at positions 338 to 795 of the family's 1533-position model. The record is from RNAcentral.
CCUACGGGAGGCAGCAGUAGGGAAUUUUCGUCAAUGGGCGCAAGCCUGAUCGAGCAAUGCCGCGUGAACGAGGAAGGUCUUCGGAUCGUAAAGUUCUGUUGAAGGGGAAAAAGAGCGGAGAGAGGAAAUGCUUUCUGAUUGAUAUUACCCUUCGAGGAAGUCACGGCUAACUACGUGCCAGCAGCCGCGGUAAUACGUAGGUGGCGAGCGUUAUCCGGAAUGACUGGGCGUAAAGGGUGCGUAGGCGGCCUGCUAAGUCUGGUGUGAAAGGUACCGGCUCAACCGGUACAGGCUCUGGAAACUGGCGGGCUAGAGAGCAGGAGAGGGCGGUAGAACUCCAGGUGUAGCGGUAAAAUGCGUAGAGAUAUGGAGGAACACCAGUGGCGAAGGCGGCCGCCUGGACUUUUACUGACGCUGAGGCACGAAAGCGUGGGGAGCAAAUAGGAUUAGAUACCCGUGUAGUC